AGUCAACGUGGAACCAGAUAGGCCGCAACAUGACUGCUCUGGAGUCCGCAAAGUGGUUCAUAGUGAUCAAUUUAUUGGCGAUAACUGCUGCUGGAAGUGAACUAGACGUUGACUGUGGAUUUGGGUAUGAGCUUUUAAUGGCCACAAUCGACCGAAUGCAAGAAGAUAUUAAAGUCCUGCAGGAAACAGUAACGGUUCUACAAGAAAAAACUGCAAACAACGAAGCCAAUUUAAGCUGUCUUCCAGCUCAGUUUUGCAGACAUUUCGAAUCUGUCCAGUUCAACAGCACAUUACCCUUCAGACGUCCUUGGCAUUCAACUCGUUCUAAUCGUACAAAUUCAACUAGACAAACGUGGCAUCAAAGUACCUUAAGGAACAUUACCAAUUUACAAACGGGAGCGCUUUGGGAGCCAGAGAUGAAUUCAACGGCGUCGAAUAUUCAAGAAUACCGUCCUUGGGUUAAUCAUAACCCCUUCAAUAGAACUGUUCGGCCGUAUUCAACGUCUAAUUACACGGAAUACCAUUCUUGGACCCAUUAUGAACCAUUGAAUAGUACAAUUCGACAGUACUCAAGGAGGAGGUUGGAGCCCUGAUAGAAAAAAAGCAAUUAAACAUAAAUUUCAAUUUCAACGCCAACAAAACCCAUUUGUGACUUGGAAGAUCUGAAA
Molecule: long non-coding RNA, 668 nt
Organism: Culex quinquefasciatus (southern house mosquito)
Lineage: Eukaryota; Metazoa; Arthropoda; Insecta; Diptera; Culicidae
Exons: 2
Source: RefSeq, a predicted model, not a curated record